UCGGAUGUGGUGCAUGGUGCACGGUGCACGUCAGUGUCGAGUACGUCGACUAUACAGAGAAAAGUCUUGAUAACUGAAGUCCGGGGCUCGACUCCCCGCAUCUGAA
Molecule: non-coding RNA, 106 nt
Organism: Mycena rebaudengoi
Lineage: Eukaryota; Fungi; Basidiomycota; Agaricomycetes; Agaricales; Mycenaceae
Source: the annotation of a GenBank genome assembly